CCCCCCGGAGGACAUUCCAAGUGACCCCGGUCUAACCACCGGGGAUGUUCAUAACCCUUUGUUGUCCGACUCUGUUGCCUCCGGGGCGACCCUGCCUUCGGGCGGGGGCUCCGGGUGGACACUUCAAACUCUUGCGUAACUUUGCAGUCUGAGUAAACUUAAUUAAUAAAUUAAAACUUUUAACAACGGAUCUCUUGGUUCUGGCAUCGAUGAAGAACGCAGCGAAAUGCGAUAAGUAAUGUGAAUUGCAGAAUUCAGUGAAUCAUCGAAUCUUUGAACGCACAUUGCGCCCCCUGGUAUUCCGGGGGGCAUGCCUGUUCGAGCGUCAUUUCACCACUCAAGCCUCGCUUGGUAUUGGGCAACGCGGUCCGCCGCGUGCCUCAAAUCGACCGGCUGGGUCUUCUGUCCCCUAAGCGUUGUGGAAACUAUUCGCUAAAGGGUGUUCGGGAGGCUACGCCGUAAAACAACCCCAUUUCUAAGGUUGACCUCGGAUCAGGUAGGGAUACCCGCUGAACUUAAGCAUAUCAAUAA
Molecule: unclassified non-coding RNA, 531 nt
Filed under: Cladosporium pseudocladosporioides
Lineage: Eukaryota; Fungi; Ascomycota; Dothideomycetes; Cladosporiales; Cladosporiaceae
Description: sequence contains ITS1, 5.8S rRNA gene and ITS2
Rfam family: 5.8S ribosomal RNA (bases 175-328)
Source: RNAcentral